GCAUGGCCAAUUGGCCAUGCUGGCAGGGGCUGAUGGGAAUUGUACUCCUGCCCUCCCGAGGGUCUGCAGGGAGGCUGGGAGAGAAGGAGCUGGCCUCCAUGGAUGUGGCAGGCGGUGGUGCCCCACCCUCCCAAGCUCCCUGCAGUCCAGCUCCUGUCCUAUCCUGUGUCUCCAGGGAUGCGGGGGGGCUCUAUGACAGAUGGUGGUGGCACCCUGCCCUCCCAGGCUCCCUACAGCCCAGCUCCUGCCCUCCCCAGGGCCUGGAGAGAGCAGGGGCCAGCCUUCAGGGAUGCGGAGGCCAGGGAUGGGGCCACGCCCCAAGGCCCUCCCUGAGUGCGGGGGUAGGGGGGCCAGAGAAGGAGUUGUCUCUGGGUGCCAUUUCCCCCUAAUACACCUCUGCCUCUAAGGGAGGGGUGCCCAGCUCUGGCCCUCCAGAUGUCCAAGGGCUGAUGGGAAUUAUUGUCCAUGAACAUCUGGAGGGCCAGAGUUGGACACCCCUGCUCUAAGGCCUUUCUAAAUGGCAGUUUGUUUCUUGCAUGAAAAUGGAUUGUGUUGCAAAAGUAGCAUAAUCUUUCUAGAGAAUGGUCAGUCAGCUAAAUAAAUCCUGGUCCAGGGGGUGAAAACUUUUAGUGCACUCCUCUGUUCAUCCCUCAGCCCCCCCCCCCCCCCCCCCCCAAAUACACAGAACUGAGCAAA
This is a long non-coding RNA of Sphaerodactylus townsendi, 696 nucleotides long. RefSeq lists it as uncharacterized. The transcript is spliced from 2 exons. The record is from RefSeq and is a predicted model, not a curated record. NCBI's taxonomy places the organism in Eukaryota, Metazoa, Chordata, Lepidosauria, Squamata, Sphaerodactylidae.